CAGUGUUUCCAGCCGUGUGCUGCUAUCAGGAUAACAGAUUCUAUUCGAACUUAUGCAAACAAUCAUAUUGCCAUGAAAAAUAAGAACACUCACUUAUCAAGAGUUUCCAAAUUCUGGAGGGAUCAGGUAGGGAGAAAAAGAUCAACGCUUCAAUUCUGCUUACAAAUUGCUAUAAGUCAUAUUUAGCUUAAGAGAAAAGAUUUCUUUAAAUCUGGAAAAGCAAAACAUUAGAACGUCUUCCUCAAUUCACAUAGCCCCAUGCAAUUUAAGAUUUCUUCUGCUUGAAUCCAGUUUUUCCAUUAACUUUCUUAACUUUGCCUGAUGAUUGAGGAUGAUAGGAGCCAAGAAGUUUUAAAAGUCCAAGAAGUUUAAAGGAUUUUCAUUAAAGUUUGCACGGUUUGCUCAGUGACGCAGGUGCCUUGAUCACUGGAGACUGUGGAAGGCAUGCCCCAAGUUGGAAAUACAAUUAUCUUUUAUUUUUUAUUUUUUUGCUGAGGAAGAUUAGCCCUGAGCUAACACCUGUGCUGCCUCGGUCUUGGGGUGGCCAGGUUUUAAAGGUAAAAGGUGCAGAGUACGCAAGGUUAAGGCUGAGUCCCAGUUCUGAUUGGUCACCCUUUUCAGCUACAGUUUAUCUUGUGUCCGGGGCUUUCUAAAUGUUCUAACUGCAGGGAAAUACUACCGAGUUGUUCUCCGGCCAUCUGGUGACAGUGAAGGUUAAAAUGUAGGUUUUUAUUUCUGCCCAUAGUUCAGCCUUGAGGCGGUCAUGGUAAUCAUCACGUCGACUCUGGCCUCGUUCUUUUCUCUUUCUUUUAUCAGCUAUAUAAGCCCAAGUUCUAGCCACCCCUUUGAGUUACUCAUCCCUGAGUUGCUCCCACGUAUAUAUGAGAUACACAUGCUAAUAAACUUCUGUUUAUUUUUCUCUCAUUGAUCUGUCUUUUGUUACAAAGCCCUAACCGUGGAGAACAUAGAAGGGUAGAAGGGAAAAGACUUUUUUCCUCCCCUACAGAUGUUCUCAGGAAGUUGGGGGUAAUUCUGUGACUGGGUAGCUGAACAAAUCUUACCCAGAAGGAGGGAAGAAUAGGGCCAUAGCCAAAGCUGUAACUGGUAAAGUAGCAGCAGUUACCCAUAUUAGAGCAUCGAGGAUGGGGGGGGGGGGUGUUUGGUCAAUUUUUCUCGUUUGGACACUAUAUUCUUCUUCUUUGUCUGAGUUCGGACGUGACUACGGAGUGGUCUUAUUUCUGUCUUGAUCCAUCACGGUCACAUAGCGGCCUUGUCUGACGGUGACGUUCUGUGAGAUCGUUUACAUUCACCGGGAGACCACCACGGCCUAGCUGUGGGUGGCAGGCCAGCUCCCGGGGCUGCUUUUGUCUCUCGCAAAAUCUAAGAUGCAUCACAGGAUCUUAGCGAUCUUAGUUUCCCUCUCUCUCGAAAAAACUUACUGUUUUCAUCAUCCUAGGAAUAUUUUUUUUCUGCAGCUAUUCACCAACCCCCAACUAUAACGGAAAAGUCUACAAGACUAACGAAAUGGAGGAAUGAAGGAGUCCCUUACAGGAUUGAUGCAACAGUGGAGCGAGUCGUCCCUAUGGCGUGAUCCUUCAGUUUUCUUCUUGUGUCGCUAAGAAAAGGUAUCGAUCAAAUCCUCUUUCAGGAAGGUAAACAAGCAGAUGGGAGACAGCUCUUUGUAGUCUGAUUUUUGCUUUCUCUGAA
Molecule: long non-coding RNA, 1707 nt
Organism: Equus asinus (donkey)
Lineage: Eukaryota; Metazoa; Chordata; Mammalia; Perissodactyla; Equidae
Source: Ensembl